This 899-nucleotide long non-coding RNA is filed under the name Olea europaea subsp. europaea. The record is from RNAcentral. Lineage: Eukaryota; Viridiplantae; Streptophyta; Magnoliopsida; Lamiales; Oleaceae.
GUAAUAACAAAGAUAGGUACAAUGAGCAACAUAGAACAAAAUAUAAAGUUGGAUAUUGGAUGGAAAAGAGUAAUUGAUACGAGAACAAUCUCCAAAUACAUUUUUGUUUGAAAAAUAUAUUGUCUAUAUUUCCAUAUUUCAUUAGCACAAUCAUUAUGCCUUUGUCAUUUAGAUUUAACUCUACCUUCACUCUUCUUUUCCUCAUUCAUUACAGUAGUAGCAUCCCCACAAAAGCUCUCUUUUAUCUCCUUCGCCUUUACCUCUUUCGUCACCACCUUCUCUAUUUCCUCAUGCAAAAAAUAAUUGGAUUCAUAUUCCACCACUGCAUCUACAGAAAUAAUUUGGUUCAUUGCAUUUUUAUCCACGCGAUCUUCAUUGUUGUUGCAAACAGCUAAUUCUAUAACUGCCACUGAAUUAUUAUUUUCAGGACUAUCUAAAGUAACAAUCAAACUACUUUCACCCACAAUGUCUUUCUCACCUAAUGAAUUCACAUCAUCCAAAUUAAUGUUCUUUUUAGAACUAUGUUGCUUCGGCAUCACCUGGCUCCCUGAUGAAGAAAUGGGGAGAGAGGGUUCCGGGGGAAGUGGAAAUAAACCAAAGAACCAAUAUGGUUGCCAAUGAUAACGUCUAUUUCUUUGUGGAAUAACUCCGAAACACCACAACCUUAAAAAUCUAAAAAGAAAUGUGCAACCAAUAAUUGGUGCGAUAAGACUGUAAGUAACCGUUUCACGCUUGUCUAUAUUUGGAAUGCAAUAAUAUCGAAUUUCUACAGGGAUUAUAAAUGCUAGAAAGCCAUCAAGCAAAAUACACGUACUAGUGAGACAAUACAUUACUAUAUCCUUAAACAUCUUGAGAAGAACUUUCACCAUGCUAAUUAUUUUCUCCAUGUUUGGAUUUGA